Molecule: ribosomal RNA, 445 nt
Filed under: uncultured bacterium
Lineage: Bacteria
Description: bacterial SSU rRNA
Rfam family: Bacterial small subunit ribosomal RNA
Source: RNAcentral
AACGAACGUUGGCGGCGUGGAUUAGGCAUGCAAGUCGUGCGCGAAAGUGGUAGCAAUACCACGAGUAGAGCGGCGAACUGGUGAGUACAAGGUGACUAACGUACCCCUCAGUGGGGGAUAACCCGCCGAAAGGCGGGCUAAUACCGCAUGAUCUCCCGGGUACCCCGGUAUCCGGGAGCAAAGCAGCAAUGCGCUGAGGGAUCGGGUCACCUCCCAUUAGCUAGUUGGUAGGGUAACGGCCUACCAAGGCUACGAUGGGUAGCUGGUCUGAGAGGAUGGUCAGCCACACUGGGACUGAGAUACGGCCCAGACUCCUACGGGGGGCAGCAGUCUAGAGGCUUCGGCAAUGCCCGAAAGGGUGACCGAGCGACGCCGCGUGUGGGAUGAAGGGCUUCGGCCUGUAAACCACUUUUCUCUGGGAAGAAACUCCGGGUCGUGCACCCGG